This 253-nucleotide ribosomal RNA is filed under the name uncultured bacterium. RNAcentral describes it as "partial 16S ribosomal RNA". It matches the Rfam family "Bacterial small subunit ribosomal RNA", at positions 524 to 776 of the family's 1533-position model. The record is from RNAcentral.
UACAGAGGGUGCGAGCGUUAAUCGGAAUUACGGGGCGUAAAGCGCGCGUAGGCGGCUUUGCAAGUCGAGUGUGAAAUCCCCAGGCUUAACCUGGGAACUGCAUUCGAGACUGCAUAGCUAGAGUAUGGGAGAGGGAAGUGGAAUUUCAGGUGUAGCGGUGAAAUGCGUAGAUAUCUGAAGGAACAUCAGUGGCGAAAGCGACUCCCUGGACCAAUACUGACGCUCAUGUGCGAAAGCGUGGGGAGCAAACAGG